UUUUUAUGUAAAUUUAUUUGAAUGAUUGAAAUAUAAAUAAUUUUUUAAGAAUUUAUUUAAUUUAAAUAAUUUAAUAAAAUAAUAAAAUUUUUAAUAUUUAGAAUAAUUUAUAUUAAUGAAAAUUAACAAUAGAAAAUUAUUAAGUUUAUUAAUAAAAAUUAGUGCCAGCAAUUGCGGUUAAACUAAGAAUAAUAGAUAAAUUUUUUUAAUUAAUAAAUUAAAUAUAUUAGGUUUAAAGAAUUAAUUUUAAAAUUAAGUACUUAUGGUGAAAUAUAAGUAUAAAUUUAAGAAUUAAUAAAAAAAAUAUUAAUUUUUAAAAAUUUAAUUAUAAAUUAGGAUUAGAUACCCUAUUAUUUUUAUUAAAUCAAAUUUAAUUAAUUAUUAAAUGUUAAACAUUAAAGAUAAAAAAUUUGGCGGUACUUAAUAUUUAGAGGAACUUGUUUGUUAAAUUGAUAGUCCACGAAUAGAAAAACUUAAUUUUAUAAUUUUAUGUAUUGUUGUUGAAAAAUCAUAUUAGUAGAUAAUAAUUGAAAAAUUUAAUUAAAUUAUAAGUCAAAUCAAAAUGUAGAAUAAUUAAGAAUUUAAAUGAGUUACAAUUAAAUAAAUAAAUAGAUUUUAUAAUUUAAUUUUAUAAAUGAAAAUGGAUUUAAAAGUAAAUUUAUAUAAAUUUAUAAAUUGAAUGUAUAGUUUAAGUAUGUACAAAUUGCCCGUCAUUUUCAAAAUGUGAGAAAAGUCGUAACAAAGUAAAUGUACUGGAAAGUGUAUUUAGAGGAGAUU
RNAcentral lists this non-coding RNA (777 nucleotides) under Camponotus atrox. Lineage: Eukaryota; Metazoa; Arthropoda; Insecta; Hymenoptera; Formicidae. The record is from RNAcentral.